This 1469-nucleotide long non-coding RNA is filed under the name Carassius auratus (goldfish). RNAcentral's name for it is "lncRNA (ENSCARG00000040484.1)". The record is from RNAcentral. Lineage: Eukaryota; Metazoa; Chordata; Actinopteri; Cypriniformes; Cyprinidae.
ACAAUAGAUUGAUAAGCUUAAAGUGUUUAUCUUUUAAUUUUUGCAGGAAACAUCGUUUCAAGUGGUUUUAAUUUCAGGUGGUAAUUUUUCAUUUAUUCUGAUGAAUUAUGGUGACAUUGCUGUGACAGGACAUCCAGUGCAGGCUGGUUAUGACACGAUAAACUCCACACACUACUUUGUGAUUCCUGGAUCAAUCAAUGGCAGCUUCAUCUCAAACCUCAGGAACUCCAGUAAUGUUGAUGUUCCCGGUCGAUGGGUCUUCAGGGUGGACGGUGGACUAGGAAACAGUAAAAGUAAAAGCCUUAUCUAUAGAUAAUGUUAUGAUAAAUUUCCUAUCAUCCUUUACAGUGUUUGUAUGGUUAGUGUGAAAAAAAACACAGACAAACAUUUUAGGUGUUCCUGUGUGUUUCCUUCUAGACCAUGUCAUUGGAUUACAAAUUAGACUUUCCUCAUUUUUGGACUUGACACAGAGUGGCAGCACUGAAAUAGUUUUACAGCAAGUACGUCACACUUAAACUUACUAUGAAUAUUUAAACAGAAUACGGUUCAAAUAGACCACAUGGGGAAAGUUUGAUCUGUUUGUCCAUUUGUGUUUCAGAUCAAGCAGGAGCUGGUCAAGUACGGUCUGCCAAACAGCAUCGAGCUGAAGUUAAGAAAACUGCAAAAGAUAAAGCUGUAAUUUCAUCUUCUUUCAGGAAAAGAAGUAAAACCAGUUUGUUUAGCAUCUGACAACAAAUGUCCCUAACGACUGAUGAUGUAAUAGCUUCAGUUUUCAUCAUGGUGGUUUCAUUUAAAGGAUUACAAAGGACGCAAAACCACAUAAAAUUAUCAUAGAAGAGGUGCAUUGGUAUUCAUCACUGAACCUCCUUUUUCUUUACAUAUCAAUCAAAUAUCAACUGUCAACUGCAGAAGUUUACACUUUAUUGUAAGUAAAACUGUUUUUCUCAUUUACCUACAUUAGAACUAUAUCUUAUAAGCAUGCACAUACUUGUCUUGAUGUACAGUAGCCUAAAGUUUGAAUGCAGUUUAUGUGAUUAAAAGUGUCUGCCAAAUGCAUCAAUGUCAUAUUCCAUCUUAUUGCAUGAUUCUUCCUUCUUAUUUCUGUCUGUAAAAUCACUUAAUCAUUUUUAAAAUGGGAAUCUAAAUUUGUAACUUAAUAAAAAAUAAUAUUGUUUGACUAUAUGUCAAACCACCUUUAUUUCUUAUUAUUUCAGUUACAAACAUGAGAAAAGCAAAAACAGUGAUGGAAACUUGUGCUGUAUAUAAACUCUAAUAAGACUGUAGUGUGAUUGUUCAGCUCAGUUCAGCUUAGUUUAGUGUUGAUUUAGUUCAAUUCAAUAAUUGUCAAGUUCAUCAGUCAUGAAAUGAGUUCAACUAUAAGCAGUUUAACAGAAGGCAGCAAUGCAACAACCGGUUUAUUUGUAAAAUGUCUUACAGCAAAUAUCCCAGUGAUUAAAGAUUACACAUCA